AGCGGCGGACGGGUGAGUAACGCGUGGGUAACCUGCCUCAUACAGGGGGAUAACAGUUGGAAACGGCUGCUAAUACCGCAUAAGCGCACAGUACCGCAUGGUACGUGUGAAAAACUCCGGUGGUAUGAGAUGGACCCGCGUCUGAUUAGCUAGUUGGUGGGGUAACGGCCUACCAAGGCGACGAUCAGUAGCCGACCUGAGAGGGUGACCGGCCACAUUGGGACUGAGACACGGCCCAA
This 239-nucleotide ribosomal RNA is filed under the name uncultured bacterium. RNAcentral describes it as "partial 16S ribosomal RNA". It matches the Rfam family "Bacterial small subunit ribosomal RNA", at positions 94 to 334 of the family's 1533-position model. The record is from RNAcentral.